UCUCUGUGAUGUUAAAUUUGAUGACGAGUCUGAUGCGCAUAAUAUCGUGAUGCGAAAUGAGGCAUUUGUCUGAGAGAA
Non-coding RNA from Picea glauca (white spruce), 78 nucleotides. NCBI's taxonomy places the organism in Eukaryota, Viridiplantae, Streptophyta, Pinopsida, Pinales, Pinaceae. The record is from Rfam.